UACGGAGGGUGCAAGCGUUGUCCGGAUUUAUUGGGUUUAAAGGGUGCGUAGGCGGCUGAUUAAGCCAGCGGUGAAAGACUUCGGCUUAACCGGAGCAGUGCCGUUGAUACUGAUUGGCUUGAGUGUUGGAGGGGUACAUGGAAUUGAUGGUGUAGCGGUGAAAUGCAUAGAUACCAUCAGGAACACCGAUAGCGAAGGCAUUGUACUGGCCAACAACUGACGCUGAGGCACGAAAGUGUGGGGGAUCGAACAGGAUUAGAUACCCCGGUAGU
RNAcentral lists this ribosomal RNA (272 nucleotides) under uncultured bacterium. RNAcentral's name for it is "partial 16S ribosomal RNA". It matches the Rfam family "Bacterial small subunit ribosomal RNA", at positions 524 to 794 of the family's 1533-position model. The record is from RNAcentral.